GACGGCGUCACCUCUGGAAAAGGCCUAACGAUGACAGCAUCGGGACCGCCGUCCUCAUCGCCCAGCCGCUGCAAGAGAUGACGAGGUCAAGACGGAAUCUGGUCUUGCAAAGGGAAAGCAAAGGUGACCUUGGAGGGGAGGCCACUGGCUCAGGGGACGUGUCUGUCACCCUGACCACCGACGCUGGCCAGUGAGACGCUCCCAAACGGAACACCGAGAGAGUCAGAGGAAGGACACGGACAGACGGAAUGUUUCACAAACGCUGGUGGGAGUUCCGCCGCAUCUGGGGACACGGCCCGGGGCCCUGCUGCCGGCAGGUGGGCAAAGUCAUGGGUCUGUCCAUGCGGGACACGGCACGGGGGCUGGCGGCAAAGCGCCGGGAUUCCAGGGCCGGGAUUCUGAGGACACGGGGCGAACCCUGCCACACCGUGGAAGGAAGCAGCUGCCCCCCCCUGAGGGGACCUGUACCCGAGCUCAGUUGGACCGCCGGCCCGUGGCGGAAAAGGAUUUGAGAACUGUGGAGAAAGGUUUUAUGAAAGAUCUUAUGAAGCCGAUGACUAACUGGGACCGUCUGUGUGUGUUUUUCAUGCAUCCGUGUGUGGGCGGGGGAAGAGCGCCGAACCCAACCACUGGCCUGCCACUGGGACCUGGACGGCUCUUCCGGCGCCCCGGGAAGAGGGGGCCAGGCUGGAACCAGCUCGCCGUCCCCGGGAGAGCCGGCCACGCGGCACUCAGCGCCAGGGACCUUCCCUGUGACACGCACAGGAAGCUUGCAGACAGCAGCGUGCUGGGCCGAAUGGCGCUCCCCCCAAAGACAGGCUGACAGCCCUAACCCCCGCACCCGCCCCAGCCCCCCGUGCCGGUGCACGUGCCCCGGUGUGCAAACGGGGUCUCUGCAGAUGCGACCAAGAUCACAGCCUCGCCGGUCCCCCCGGGGGCCCUACCGCGGAGCCGAGCAUGGCGGGGCCAUCCCUGCUGCCUGGACCUGGACGCCGCAGAGCUUUGUUCUAAAUUAAUCUCGGAAGCGGUGAGAGGAGCUGGAUAUGAUGUUAACGGGAGGAGAGGGAGGAGGGAACGGGGACUACGGGGGACUACGGGGGACUCGGCCCGGCGGAAGGAGGGUCUGUGUGCCACAGGUACGUGACUUCAGUCUCCGUUGCCUGAGCGUCUCAGGGACGGUCCCAUCCUGGGGACAAUAGGAAAUACGGAACCUCAGGCUCCGUCUAGGCACAGCCCCACGGCCCUGGCCCCGAGCUGACAAGCAGGUCCUGCAACCCUCAAGCCCCAACCCCUGCCCCGCCACAGGCUACCUAGGCGGACACGAGAGCUCACGGGACAUCCCUGGUAGCCACAGAACAGUCAAGCUGUGGGGGCGGGGAGGGUGCUAGAACGUUCCCUAUGGCCUCCACCUCCAACCCCAGCCGGCCCCAGGGGAACCUUCCUUAGACGCGGCGGGUGCCCGUGUCUCACUGCCACCUGAACGGCGGCCGAGCUGCAGAAACUCUCAGCCCCGCUGCUGCUCCGGGCUGGAGCGUCGAACCGCGCCUGCUCCCCGUGGGAGGGCUGUGCCGGGGGCCGGCUGAGCACCGGGAACAACAGCGCUGGGACAGAGGGUGGCCACACUGCUGCACAGACCCCCCACGCUGGCGUGGUUCAAAUGCGUGACUUCCCUGCGGGCCAAGUGGAGGCUGAACAGAUUGCCCCAUGGAGCCCUUUGUGGGCACCCACCCUGGGCAGCCAUGGGGGGCCACAGCCAUGGAGGCUGUAGGGAGGUCCCUGGGGGCAGGAGCUGAGGAAAGUUACAGUAAAUCAGCGGAGGCCAGGCCCCUCCGAAGAGCUGACACCUCCAAGGGCAACAAAGAGCCAGUGUCUGGGCACCUGUCAUGACCAAGAGCUUCGGCAGCCCAGACUGAGCGGCAAAGGACACCUGCAGCCUCAAAGGACUCUGGCUCCUCUCUGUCUGUCCUUUCUGCCCUGACCUCGAGGUCUCACACAGGAGGGUGGGUGGAAGGACCUCUGCCCUCCCGGCUUGGGCUGCGGACACGAGGCAAAGCCUGGCCCGAGACAGAAGUGCCGAUGUGGGCCGGGCCUGCGUCAUCGCUUCCAGGAAGGGGGUCGCCGCUCCUGAAUGAGCCCGGGAC
This is a long non-coding RNA of Phyllostomus hastatus (greater spear-nosed bat), 2141 nucleotides long. RefSeq lists it as uncharacterized. The transcript is spliced from 3 exons. NCBI's taxonomy places the organism in Eukaryota, Metazoa, Chordata, Mammalia, Chiroptera, Phyllostomidae. The record is from RefSeq and is a predicted model, not a curated record.